CGCCGAUUAAAGUGGUACGCGAGCUGGGUUCAGAACGUCGUGAGACAGUUCGGUCCUCUAUCCGCUGUGGGCGUUUGUGAUUUGAGGGGUUCAUUCUCUAGUACGAGAGGACCGAGAAUGACGAACCUCUGGUGUUCCGGUUGUCGCGUCAGCGGCAGCGCCGGGUAGCUAUGUUCGGCAAGGAUAAGCGCUGAAAGCAUCUAAGCGCCAAGCCUAUCCCAAGAUAAGAUCACAAUAUAUCGCAAGAUAUUAUAAGGUCCGAAUAGACCAUUCGGUUGAUAGGCUAUAAGUGUAAUCACAGUAAUGUGUUGAGCUUAAUAGUACUAAUUUCC
This 332-nucleotide ribosomal RNA is filed under the name Opitutia bacterium. RNAcentral describes it as "bacterial LSU rRNA". It matches the Rfam family "Bacterial large subunit ribosomal RNA", at positions 2582 to 2909 of the family's 2925-position model. Lineage: Bacteria; Pseudomonadati; Verrucomicrobiota; Opitutia. The record is from RNAcentral.